GACGAACCGUGCGAACGUUGUUCGGAAUCACUGGGCUUAAAGGGCGCGUAGGCGGGCUGCCGCGUCCGGGGUGAAAUCCUCCCGCUCAACGGGAGAACGGCCUCGGAUACGGGCGGCCUCGAGGGGGGUAGGGGCAUCUGGAACUGUGGGUGGAGCGGUGAAAUGCGUUGAUAUCCACAGGAACUCCGGUGGCGAAGGCGAGGUGCUGGACCCCAUCUGACGCUGAGGCGCGAAAGCCAGGGGAGCAAACGGG
RNAcentral lists this ribosomal RNA (253 nucleotides) under uncultured bacterium. RNAcentral's name for it is "partial 16S ribosomal RNA". It matches the Rfam family "Bacterial small subunit ribosomal RNA", at positions 524 to 776 of the family's 1533-position model. The record is from RNAcentral.